CUACGGGACGCAGCAGUGGGGAAUAUUGCACAAUGGGGGAAACCCUGAUGCAGCCAUGCCGCGUGUGUGAAGAAGGCUUUCGGGUUGUAAAGCACUUUCAGCGAGGAGGAAAGGGUACAAGUUAAUACCUUGUAUCUGUGACGUUACUCGCAGAAGAAGCACCGGCUAACUCCGUGCCAGCAGCCGCGGUAAUACGGAGGGUGCGAGCGUUAAUCGGAAUUACUGGGCGUAAAGCGCGCGUAGGCGGUUAAUUAAGUCAGAUGUGAAAGCCCAGGGCUCAACCUUGGAACUGCAUUUGAACUGGUUAACUAGAGUUUUGUAGAGGGUGGUAGAAUUUCAGGUGUAGCGGUGAAAUGCGUAGAGAUCUGAAGGAAUACCAGUGGCGAAGGCGGCCACCUGGACAAAGACUGACGCUGAGGCGCGAAGGCGUGGGGAGCAAACGGGAUUAGAUACCCCAGUAGUC
This 463-nucleotide ribosomal RNA is filed under the name uncultured bacterium. RNAcentral's name for it is "partial 16S ribosomal RNA". It matches the Rfam family "Bacterial small subunit ribosomal RNA", at positions 339 to 795 of the family's 1533-position model. The record is from RNAcentral.